This 305-nucleotide ribosomal RNA is filed under the name uncultured bacterium. RNAcentral describes it as "bacterial SSU rRNA". It matches the Rfam family "Bacterial small subunit ribosomal RNA", at positions 333 to 641 of the family's 1533-position model. The record is from RNAcentral.
UUUGUCCUACGGGAGGCAGCAGUGGGGAAUAUUGCACAAUGGGGGAAACCCUGAUGCAGCGACGCCGCGUGAGUGAAGAAGUAUCUCGGUACGUAAAGCUCUAUCAGCAGGGAAGAAAAAAAGUCUUUGGCUUUGGACGGUACCUGACUAAGAAGCCCCGGCUAACUACGUGCCAGCAGCCGCGGUAAUACGGAGGAUGCGAGCGUUAUCCGGAUUUAUUGGGUUUAAAGGGUGCGUAGGCGGAAUGCCAAGGCAGCGGUAAAAUCGCGGGGCUCAACGUCGCUCCGCCGUUGAAACUGGCGUUU